CCUACGGGGGGCUGCAGUAAGGAAUAUUGGUCAAUGGACGCAAGUCUGAACCAGCCAUGCCGCGUGGAGGAUGAAGGUCCUCUGGAUUGUAAACUUCUUUUAUUUGGGAAGAAACUCCCGAUUUCCAUCGGGAUUGACGGUACCAGAUGAAUAAGCACCGGCUAACUCCGUGCCAGCAGCCGCGGUACUACGGAGGGUGCCGGCGUCACCCGGAUUAACGGGUUUGAAGGGGGGCGGGGGUGGCCAGGUAGAAAUCUCCGGGCUUAACCCGGAAACUGCCAUUGAUACUAUUUGUCUUGAAUACUCUGGAGGUGAGCGGAAUAUGUCAUGUAGCGGUGAAAUGCUUAGAUAUGACAUAGAACACCCAUUGCGAAGGCAGCUCACUACGGAAAUAUUGACGCUGAGGCACGAAAGCGUGGGGAUCAAACAGGAUUAGAUACCCUUGUAGUC
RNAcentral lists this ribosomal RNA (450 nucleotides) under uncultured bacterium. RNAcentral describes it as "partial 16S ribosomal RNA". It matches the Rfam family "Bacterial small subunit ribosomal RNA", at positions 338 to 795 of the family's 1533-position model. The record is from RNAcentral.